RNAcentral lists this ribosomal RNA (251 nucleotides) under uncultured bacterium. RNAcentral's name for it is "partial 16S ribosomal RNA". It matches the Rfam family "Bacterial small subunit ribosomal RNA", at positions 524 to 776 of the family's 1533-position model. The record is from RNAcentral.
GACGGGGGGGGCAAGUGUUCUUCGGAAUGACUGGGCGUAAAGGGCACGUAGGCGGUGAAUCGGGUUGAAAGUGAAAGUCGCCAAAAAGUGGCGGAAUGCUCUCGAAACCAAUUCACUUGAGUGAGACAGAGGAGAGUGGAAUUUCGUGUGUAGGGGUGAAAUCCGUAGAUAUUAGGAAGAACACCAGUGGCGAAGGCGGCUCACUGGCCCGGUACUGACGCUGAGGCGCGAAAGCGUGGGGAGCAAACAGG